Molecule: transfer RNA, 73 nt
Filed under: Pterocladiella capillacea
Lineage: Eukaryota; Rhodophyta; Florideophyceae; Gelidiales; Pterocladiaceae
Also listed under: 3 other names
Description: tRNA-Phe
Rfam family: tRNA
About the family: Transfer RNA (tRNA) molecules are approximately 80 nucleotides in length.
Source: RNAcentral
GUCUAGAUAGCUCAGUUGGUAGAGCAUAGGAUUGAAAAUCCUUGUGUCAUGGGUUCAAAUCCCAUUCUGGACA